Molecule: long non-coding RNA, 2234 nt
Organism: Macaca fascicularis (crab-eating macaque)
Lineage: Eukaryota; Metazoa; Chordata; Mammalia; Primates; Cercopithecidae
Source: Ensembl
UUUUUUUUUUUUUUUUUUUUCCGCCACAUGGAACCUUCUUUUCCUUGAAUUUUUAUGGAGACCCUAUUACCAUUAUUUCUUAUAGCUUCAGGAUUUGAGUCAUAGAAAAAUCUUCCCUCCUCCAAUGCUUAAAGGGAACCUCUCCUGCUUUCUUCUUGGGCGGGGCAGGGCUGGCGAUUACCCGGCGCCCGAUGGAGGAGCCCGGUUGGAAGCUGCGUGGUGCCCAGGCCUGGGGCUCAGCCCUGCACUUCGAGGCCCGUGUGCCCUGGAGCUGUGUUGGCGCUGUGGGCUGGGGGAUUCAGGAUUCAGCAGGAUAGGGGUGCUGUGUUCCCACACCCAGCCUCCAGUGAGUCCUCCCUCCACUGGGGGCAGGAACCUGUGGCCCCUGCAGCCUACGGGCCUGUGGACCACGCCUUGCCCCCAGGGGGUCCCAGGCCCCCCAACCCUGCUCCCUGUGUUUCCCACAGGGACACAGAACAUGCUGACCCAGACCUAAGCUCACAGCUGCGGGGGACGUCUCCCAUCCCUGGAAGGGCACACAUGAGGGUGGUUCCAGGGAUCGCCCCUCCCUGGCGUUUGUCCCUCAGCCCUGAAGCGUUUCUGAGGCCCUCCCUGUGCUGUUCCAUCCUGGGUGCCCGGGAGACCGAGGCCUGGUCUUCUGUCCCCUCGCUGGCCAGGGAAGGCCCGCACACAUGGGUGGUUGGUGGCCCCUGCUCCUCCUGGGCUCUGCGGUCCACCCUGAUGCUCCGGCCCCGAGCCCCUUUCCACUGUAAGGCUUUAGCCCCCACCGGCGGGUGUGGGUGAAUUGGAGGGGAGGGGGCUAAAUUGUUCAUUGAUUCCCUCCACUCGGUGGCUCAUUCUGUCUGUUGUUGGUUUCUGCACCUGUCCAUGCUUGCUGACAUGAGUUUGAAAUGCAUCUGUCUGUGCCCCCUCGGCACAGCUAAGACACACAGAGGGGAGUAGGUCAGAACCAAGAGGCCCUGAGCAGGAGAGAGGGGCUGCAGAGCUGGGAUGGGGGCUCCUGCUGCUCCCUGCAGUCUUGGUGCCUGAGCUGCAGAGCUCAUUCCCCUCCCAUGUAAGCUCUUAUGGGCAAGGCCUGUGCCCCGGGUCCUGAGCAUGGGGAGGGCGCGUCAGGUGGUCAUUUCUAGCAGUGAACGUUAUUAGGGGACAGAGAGGACAGUGAUGAACAAAGCCUGGUGGCCCAAGAAGCUUGAAUCCAGGAGGACCAGGCCAGCCUUAAUGCCUCUGAGCCCCAGCUAUGGGCUCCGGUCUGGGAUCUUAGAAAGGCUGGCCAGCUGUAGUCUGCAGUCCAUGAUGGAGGUGGGUGCCCAUCUGGGAGGCCCCGGUGGGAGGCGGGAGGUGAGGCCUGACAGGCAUGGGGUGGAUGGAGGCGCCCAGGAGGCCCAGGAUCUGGCCUGGGGAAGGUGGGCCUGGGCCACCCAGCGAGGGCAUAGGUGAGGUAUGGAUGGGGCAGGGCCCCCCAAGGCUGACCAGGCUGAGAUGGGCACCGCAGGGGUGUCCUGGAGAACUGGAAGGUGGGAGUGGCUGAGAGUCAGGCCCUCAAGGACUGGGAGAGUCUGGGGCUGGGGGCCUCCCCAUGGCCCCUCCCCUGACAGCGGCCCUCCUGGUUGAAGCUUCAGAAUCCCCAGGCUAUAGCAGAGCCUCUCUGGCCUCCCCACCUCUCCCCAGGUUCCCCUAAUGUCAUGGGGGCUCCUUCUCUCGGCAAUGGGGGCUGGCUGGGGGCAGCCAUGCGUCACUGGCUCAGCAAUGGAGAAUGAGAUGCUCUGGGAAAACGGCUGAGUGUCCCGCUGGGAACUCUCCCGGUGGGUGAGGGAGGGUUUUGAGGCAGUGGUGAGGCCAGGCCCCAGACUUCUCUAGCCCACGGCUCGGAGGCACAUGGCUUGGCUGGGGGUGCUGGGGCCAGGCUCGCACCCUUCCUCCCCAGGCGGCUGACUCUGGCCUUCCCUCCCCUGUCCCCACACUCCCAGGUGAGAUGGGUGUUGGCAGGUCGUUCUCUGGAGCAGGGAUCCCUGGAAUUCAGGUCUGUCCAGCCAGUACCUCAGCAGACGAUUGGUAAUUUUGUUGAAUGAAUGAAUAAAGUUAAAAGAAAUGGUGAGAGAUAAAGAAUGAUUAUUGAAUCCGCCAUAAAUCAUGAAUUCAUGUGUUUGAUGAGCGGGACUGGAUAGCAGGGGGCACGUGCCCAGUGGGUGGUCCAUGAGCGGUGGAUGGUGAUG